UACGUAGGGUGCGAGCGUUAAUCGGAAUUACUGGGCGUAAAGCGUGCGUAGGCGGUUCGUCAAGUCUGAUGUGAAAGCCCCGGGCUCAACCUGGGAACUGCAUUGGAAACUAGCGAGCUUGAGUGUGGCAGAGGGGGGUGGAAUUCCACGUGUAGCAGUGAAAUGCGUAGAGAUGUGGAGGAACACCGAUGGCGAAGGCAGCCCCCUGGGCUGAGAUUGACGCUCAGGCACGAAAGCGUGGGGAGCAAACAGG
RNAcentral lists this ribosomal RNA (253 nucleotides) under uncultured bacterium. RNAcentral's name for it is "partial 16S ribosomal RNA". It matches the Rfam family "Bacterial small subunit ribosomal RNA", at positions 524 to 776 of the family's 1533-position model. The record is from RNAcentral.